AGUGAACGCUGGCGGUAGGCCUAACACAUGCAAGUCGAACGGCCGCACCGUAAGAGCUUGCUCUUACGGGUGGCGAGUGGCGGACGGGUGAGGAAUACAUCGGACUCUACUUUUUCGUGGGGGAUAACGUAGGGAAACUUACGCUAAUACCGCAUACGACCUACGGGUGAAAGCCGGGGAUCUUCGGACCUUGCGCGAUUGAAUGAGCCGAUGUCGGAUUAGCGAGUUGGCGGGGUAAAGGCCCACCAAGGCAACGAUACGGAGCUGGUCUGAGAGGAUGAGCAGGCACACUGGAACUGAGACACGGUCCAGACGCCUACGGGAGGCAGCAGUGGGGAAUAUGGGACAAUGGGCGCAAGCCUGAUCCAGCCAUACCGAGUGGGUGAAGAAGGCCUUCGGGUUGUAAAGACCAUGUGUUGGGAAAGAAAAGCAGCAGGUUAAGACCCCGCUGUUCUGACGGUACCCAAAGAAUAAGCACCGGCUAACUUCGUG
This 492-nucleotide ribosomal RNA is filed under the name uncultured bacterium. RNAcentral describes it as "partial 16S ribosomal RNA". It matches the Rfam family "Bacterial small subunit ribosomal RNA", at positions 29 to 507 of the family's 1533-position model. The record is from RNAcentral.